Molecule: ribosomal RNA, 513 nt
Filed under: uncultured fungus
Lineage: Eukaryota; Fungi
Description: SSU rRNA
Rfam family: Eukaryotic small subunit ribosomal RNA
Source: RNAcentral
AGCAGCCGCGGUAAUUCCAGCCCCUAUAGCGAUAUAUUAAAGUUGCUGCAGCUUAAAAAGCUCGUAGUUGAAUUUCGGGACCAUCAUGUCGGUCGUGCCUCGGUACGUACUGGCAUCGUUGGUUUCUCCCUUCUGAAGAACCAUGAUGUCAUUAAUUUGGUGUCUUGGGGAAUCAGGACUGUUACUUUGAAAAAAUUAGAGUGUUUAAAGCAGGCUCGCGCUUGAAUACAUUAGCAUGGAAUAAUGAAAUAGGACGUUUGAUUCUAUUUUGUUGGUUUCUAGGAUCGACGUAAUGAUUAAUAGGGAUAGUUGGGGGCAUUAGUAUUCAAUUGUCAGAGGUGAAAUUCUUGGAUUUAUUGAAGACUAACUACNUGCGGAAAGCAUUUGCCAAGGAUGUUUUCAUUAAUCAAGAACGAAAGUUANGGGAUCCGAAGACGAUCAGAUACCGUNCGUAGUCUUAACCAUAAACUAUGCCGACUAGGGAUCGGAUGANGUUAAUUUUUUAAUGACUCA